AUUGAACGCUGGCGGCAGGCCUAACACAUGCAAGUCGAACGGUAACAGGAAGCAGCUUGCUGCUUCGCUGACGAGUGGCGGACGGGUGAGUAAUGCCUGGGAAACUGCCUGAUGGAGGGGGAUAACUACUGGAAACGGUAGCUAAUACCGCAUAACGUCGCAAGACCAAAGAGGGGGACCUUAGGGCCUCUUGCCAUCGGAUGUGCCCAGAUGGGAUUAGCUAGUAGGUGGGGUAACGGCUCACCUAGGCGACGAUCCCUAGCUGGUCUGAGAGGAUGACCAGCCACACUGGAACUGAGACACGGUCCAGACUCCUACGGGAGGCAGCAGUGGGGAAUAUUGCACAAUGGGCGCAAGCCUGAUGCAGCCAUGCCGCGUGUAUGAAGAAGGCCUUCGGGUUGUAAAGUACUUUCAGCGGGGAGGAAGGGAGUAAAGUUAAUACCUUUGCUCAUUGACGUUACCCGCAGAAGAAGCACCGGCUAACUCCGUG
Molecule: ribosomal RNA, 490 nt
Filed under: uncultured bacterium
Lineage: Bacteria
Description: partial 16S ribosomal RNA
Rfam family: Bacterial small subunit ribosomal RNA
Source: RNAcentral